RNAcentral lists this ribosomal RNA (610 nucleotides) under Clostridioides difficile. RNAcentral describes it as "bacterial SSU rRNA". It matches the Rfam family "Bacterial small subunit ribosomal RNA", at positions 185 to 816 of the family's 1533-position model. The record is from RNAcentral. Lineage: Bacteria; Bacillati; Bacillota; Clostridia; Peptostreptococcales; Peptostreptococcaceae.
AGGCAUCUCUUGAAUAUCAAAGGUGAGCCAGUACAGGAUGGACCCGCGUCUGAUUAGCUAGUUGGUAAGGUAACGGCUUACCAAGGCGACGAUCAGUAGCCGACCUGAGAGGGUGAUCGGCCACAUUGGAACUGAGACACGGUCCAAACUCCUACGGGAGGCAGCAGUGGGGAAUAUUGCACAAUGGGCGAAAGCCUGAUGCAGCAACGCCGCGUGAGUGAUGAAGGCCUUCGGGUCGUAAAACUCUGUCCUCAAGGAAGAUAAUGACGGUACUUGAGGAGGAAGCCCCGGCUAACUACGUGCCAGCAGCCGCGGUAAUACGUAGGGGGCUAGCGUUAUCCGGAUUUACUGGGCGUAAAGGGUGCGUAGGCGGUCUUUCAAGUCAGGAGUGAAAGGCUACGGCUCAACCGUAGUAAGCUCUUGAAACUGGGAGACUUGAGUGCAGGAGAGGAGAGUGGAAUUCCUAGUGUAGCGGUGAAAUGCGUAGAUAUUAGGAGGAACACCAGUUGCGAAGGCGGCUCUCUGGACUGUAACUGACGCUGAGGCACGAAAGCGUGGGGAGCAAACAGGAUUAGAUACCCUGGUAGUCCACGCUGUAAACGAUGAGUAC